AUGGUCUCAGAUACAGUCUUAACCCUUAAAGAAUUCUGGAAGGAACAGGACACAUCCUCUCCUGUGUGGGGUUCACUGGGCUGUUGUCUCUCUAAGGACACUGAGAUUGGCCUGUGUGUAGGAGAGGGACUCUGAAGGCCGUGCAGAGGAGCUGGGCCUCCAUUGACCAACUUGAGUUACAAGCAGCCCUCAAGAAAAGAUUGAGUUUGUAAGCCAAGGUUCCAGCAUGAUCUCUAAAGCACAGCCUGGUCCCUGGAAUCUGCUUGAAUUCUGAACCCAUCCAGCUCUAAGAGCCAGGGUGGGUCAGCGGCAUCACCAGCGUUGUGUCUGCAGAAUUUGACAGUGACACCGCUCCCCUGAGACAGUAACUGGUGUCCCCUAUGAAGAGCUUCAUGCAUCGAGUUACUUCCCUGGUCCCUGUGCCUGGGGAGUUCACUUUUAACAGGAACAGAGGGCCAUCUGUGGAUGGCCAGCAGUGUGGUGGUGCGGCCCGGAGAGCUGCAGGAACCCCAGGGUUAAGGGGGCCACAGGACAGAGGACCGAGACCAGCGGCGGACCAGGCGGCACUGGCCUCUGCCCCAUCGAGUGUUUAAACCUGGCCCUGCGGAGCUGGACAGCAGGCCAAGCAAAGCCAACUCAUUUGAUGAUUACCACAAGACCCUUAGCCACGUCGCAAGCCUCGGAAUACCACAGAAGGCCACUGCUUGAAGAUCCACACUUCCCUGAACAGUACUCCAAAUGGAAGGAAAUGGAUCUGCCAUAUCCCGAAGAGUGGAAGUUCAAAUUUGCCAUCGCCAGGUCUCGGUUUGCCCGAGAGAGCAGAGUACCAAGCAGUGUCAGCCUUUCAGGGGAGAUGAACCACCUCUGCCCUACUCCAGAAGAACACCCUACUGAGUCACAACCAGAACUAGAUCAUGUCACAGAGACCCAUGAAACAGAGGACGUGUGA
This 949-nucleotide long non-coding RNA is filed under the name Fukomys damarensis (Damara mole-rat). RNAcentral's name for it is "lncRNA (ENSFDAG00000030612.1)". Lineage: Eukaryota; Metazoa; Chordata; Mammalia; Rodentia; Bathyergidae. The record is from RNAcentral.